This 371-nucleotide long non-coding RNA is filed under the name Brassica napus (rape). RNAcentral's name for it is "long non-coding RNA (BNAP_LNC024713)". Lineage: Eukaryota; Viridiplantae; Streptophyta; Magnoliopsida; Brassicales; Brassicaceae. The record is from RNAcentral.
AGCAAGCUAUACGAUUCAUCAUUCAUAAACUCACAAAACUUAUAUUCAUCACAACUAUUUUCAACAAUCAAAAUGCCAACUAGAUAAGAAUUUAAAAAUAUUAAUUCUUUUUUUUUAAAUUCGAAAUUCCAAAAGGAAAAAAUGUUAAUUUUAGCGACGCUAUCACCGCAAUGUAAACCCUAAACCAUAAAAGUUAAACUGUAAACGCUAAAUCCAAUAACUAAACCCUAAACAAGAACUCUAAAUCCAAAUGGUAGAACCUAAACCAAAAUUAUAUCGUAUAAACCCUUAAACUAAACCCUAAACCCAAACUCUUGAACCUAAACCAAAACUAUAAACCCUAAACACAAACCUACUUUAAACCCAAACCU